CAGCUUGAGUGCGGCUGGCCUGCGGCAGGGAGUACUUCAAAGCGGGAGUGGGGUUCAAGGGGGGCGGAGGACGGAGACGUGGUGGCCGCGUGGGUAAUGACCAUGGCGGAUAUAUGCAACCAAGCGUGUGCCCCACGCGUGUGCCCGCCUGACAGCCGGGAUGCCCGGAGAAGUGUUGGGUGCGCUUGGAGAGUUUUCCGGGCAUCCAUUCAUUGCAGCUAGAACCUGGGUAUCUAUUGCAGAGAUAACCUCGAUUUGCUGUCCGUCCUGCUUGUUGCUAUUACGGCUUGAUUCAGCUUCCGCACCCCAAUUCGCCGGCACUCGGUCUGGUGAAACGAGCAUGACCAAGGGGGGCAUUACAUCACGAGCAGUUGCGCACUGCGUACAGCUCAUGUGCGAGCCCCCUCACGCGUCCGCACGAAGGCGGUCACAGAUGUCCGAAUACCAGCUCUUUGCUACAUUGCCCCUGAACAGGGGAAUCCUAAAUUAUCACAUACGGCCGCACGGUUUGACUCGCACCGUCAGCGCACGCCGCCCAGUCGGUCACGACACGACAUACGCUCUCCGACCAAGGCAAGCAGCUCCGGCGCAGCCGUCCCUAUCCGCAUCAUACUUCAGUGUUGCAAACUAGCUGCAACCCACCGGCUCCAUACACUGACCACCCACAUACAUCGAACACCACCAGCAAAACAAACACCACCAAACGACACUAGUGAACACUACCACCACGAACAUGUAGGGGACGAUCCACAUGUCACUGCGCAGGGCAGGGUUCUGCCCCAUUGCCGUACUGUUUAAUGUAUGUGCACACGAUCCCUCGGCGCUCACGAGCAUCCUGC
This 839-nucleotide long non-coding RNA is filed under the name Chlamydomonas reinhardtii. RNAcentral's name for it is "long non-coding RNA (CREI_LNC000329)". Lineage: Eukaryota; Viridiplantae; Chlorophyta; Chlorophyceae; Chlamydomonadales; Chlamydomonadaceae. The record is from RNAcentral.